CCGCGAUAGAUUCUGUCACCGUCCUCCUGCGGCUCGAUGCUCCGACAUUGUCCCCGCUCCUUUACAAUACUUUGGUGAUGCCGGCCCCACCGCACCGUGGGAUCCCAGCCUCCAGUGUCCCGAUCAUGGACGGCAGGCCACGAGCCUGCCGCACCCCCCCCCCCGAGUACGGUGGCCCACCCUUGGCGUCCGCGGGCAGGGCAGGGCAGGGGGCGGGGCAAUGUCGCCGAAGAGGCUCGCGGCACGGUCACGCCUGUGCUGACGCACCGCGAGCUGUGCCGGCGAUUCAACGGGUACACGUCCCCCAACUCCUGUUUUCUGUUUUGGCAGCGAGGCGCUGAUGCAGGAAGCAGCCCGUUUCCCCGCCAGUGCCGGACACAGCGCGACUGCCAGUGGGCGCAGCCAAGCACACCGUGGUUGGUCGGCCCGCCCCCGUCACGAAGCGUCGGCACAGGGGUCUGCAUUGCGCAAGACGUGCAGUUCACUCCCACAGGCCCCACAGGGCACCUGGCGUACCAGCGUCUCAGCAUCCCGGUGCAGCAAGAGAGAGGAGGCACCGGGCUGGCGUCCCCGCGCUCGCACACCACGACACGGGGCACAGGUGUACGCCCUCGCCCGCUUCCCAACGACAAGAGCGAGGCAGCGGCGUUGCGGCUGUGCUGCCACGUCCAUGCUAGGCGCAUACACACCACGUCCGGCCGCACACCAAAGAGUCAGCCACGCAGACGCACACCUGCGAGGUGUUCCGCAAGGCUAUGACAGAAUGCACGACUGCGGCCAGCAACACCCACGAAGGCGGGCCUCUCUGGCGACGCUGCCCUGCGCGUCGCCCUGUGGAAGGUGGUGCGCUGGACAGUGAAGCACGCCAUACAGGUGGAUUGAGCAUCCCUCAAAACAAGGCGCGCACCCGCCCAGCGAAGCACACCCCGCCGCACGCAACGACCUUGCAUGCGGUCACCUCGACACGCACGUCUCGCACGCGCUGCACGGGCUGGCCCCGUCGGGGGCCUGUCGCUGCCCCCACCACACCCUCUGUGCCCCCACAGAACGGCAGGCUGUGAGCUCCCCGUGUGCGCACGCGCACGCGUGUCGGCGGGACCCCUCCGCCCCACGCGCACAGCAGCGGCCGACCCGUCGCGGCAACAUGCGGGCAAGCCGUCCAGGCACGCACCCCCCGGCAACAGUGCCGUUCUCGAACACGCCCCCUCCCCUCCCCCCCCACUCCACAAAAGCGCGAGCGCCGCCAUGCACAGCUGGCAUGCCGCAUCGCAUGCAGAGGGGCGUGGCGCGAAGAGAGCCCACAGUGCAUGUGCGCAAAACAUGCCGUAUCGGCUCCAGCCGACCAAAUGGGGGCUCGUGAGGCGCAGAUGCCGGAAGCAUCACCAGAGCAGCCUGCACUACAUCAUCCAGUCAUCCGGAGUCCACUGUGGAGGGUGGUGGCCGUCGUCGUCGUAGGGGGGAGGGGGGUCGCCACGCCGUAUGUGACGGGAUGCAGCGGCCUUCAGGAGACUGACGGGGAGAAGCACGGCAUGCAGGCAGACGUUGCAGGGUCUCACAGGGCCCUGGGCUGAGGCUGGGCAGCAUCCUACCUCGGCUCGUGCGGCAUGCGCCUAGGCCACCACCGGCAUGCUACCCCUGCCCCCCACCCUUUGGCAGACGCCACCGCCCUCGAGUAACGCCCGUGAGGGCGGUCCCGCCUACUUUGGUGCGCGCCAUGCGGCCCGGUGGGUGUGGCGCCGAUGGCGCAGGCAUGCCUGCGAGGGGGGAGGGACAGGCUGAGCCCGUUAUAGACGCGUGGCCGGAUGCAGCGGCCGGACGGCUCGUCCUAGAGGACGCGGAUGUGGCCGCCGUGCCGCAGGGGGUGGGUGAGGGGCGGCUGUGUGUGUACGUAUAUAUCGGGGUACGAGUUCGUGGUGCUCGUGAGCGGUGAUUGAAAGUGGAAUCGGAGAUUGUAGUCACGCUUGCGAGGUGUUUGCAUAAUCGAGUGUGCCGGCUGCCAAUCUCAUUUUGUCUUUGUGUGUGUGUUUUGGUGCGAUGAAUGCCGCCUUUGCUUUAGUGUAUGUGCUUUUUCGCAGCUCUGCGGAAGUAGGGAGAGACUCACAUUCGACGUUGCGUUUUCGUUGGAAAAACAUGACGGUGCCGUGCUCUUCUGCACACACCUCGAAUAUCGUGUGUGGUAUCGCGAAGCAUUUCCGACGGGCUGCAUUGCGCGCUUUCUGGCUCUUUUCCCUCUCGGGGAGUGGCUCAUUGCUCCGCUGCCCCUCUCCCCUUCCUGUAGUGCUUGUUUCCGCUUGUCCUUCACACCGAAUUUUGUGUUUUGAUCGUGCUGUUGCUUGGUUCACUGGUGUUCUGGUUUGGCAAGCUCUUAGUCGAACGUUUUGGCGAGUGGCGGGUUUGUGGGAGGGUGGAACUUGUGUGCUCACAGUUGCUGCGGCGGUCAUGUUGCUCGUGACAAAUUGAGGCGUUUGUUUCAGUGUGUCCGCUCGUGUGUUGCUUGCAUGUGGGCUUGCCGUGAAGCAGCCGCUGCAAAUGCUGUUGCGGAUAGCGGAAGUAAGGCAAGAGCGCCCGCCGCUGCGAGUCGUGGAAACAUUACUCUUUCUUCUGUGCUGGGCUUUCUUGUUUCACUUACAAGAGGAUGCCGAGCUUCCCUCUUUCUCCGCUACUCUCAACUCUCGCCGCGCCCGGAGUGAACUCGUCGUGUUUCGUAUGGCGGUUCAUCUGCAGGGGUGAGGAGAAAGGGUCGGAUGGCCAAACAACAAAAAGAAAGGUAUCUUUGGUAUCGUAACGAUCA
This 2791-nucleotide unclassified non-coding RNA is filed under the name Leishmania donovani. RNAcentral describes it as "gene:unknown". The record is from RNAcentral. Lineage: Eukaryota; Euglenozoa; Kinetoplastea; Trypanosomatida; Trypanosomatidae.